GCCCUUAGAGUUUGAUCAUGGCUCAGAAUAAACGCUGGCGGCGUGCUUAACACAUGCAAGUCGUACGAGAAAGCUCUGCUUCGGCGGGGCAAGUAAAGUGGCGCACGGGUGAGUAACGCGUAGGCAAUCUACCUUCGGGACUGGGAUAACAGCGCGAAAGUGCUGCUAAUACCGGAUACGAUCUUUGGCCGCAGGGCUGAAGAUGAAAGCCGGCCACUCAGUGAAGCUGGUGCUCGAAGAUGAGCCUGCGUCCUAUCAGCUUGUUGGUGGGGUAACGGCCCACCAAGGCGACGACGGGUAGCUGGUCUGAGAGGAUGAUCAGCCACACUGGCACUGGAACACGGGCCAGACUCCUACGGGAGGCAGCAGUGAGGAAUUCUGCGCAAUGGGAGCAAUCCUGACGCAGCAACGCCGCGUGAGUGAUGAAGGCCUUCGGGUCGUAAAGCUCUGUCAGGUGGGAAGAAUGUUUCGCAUGUGAACAAUGUGCGGGAGUGACGGUACCACCAGAGGAAGCACCGGCUAACUCCGUGCCAGCAGCCGCGGUAAUACGGAGGGUGCGAGCGUUAUUCGGAAUUACUGGGCGUAAAGGGCGUGCAGGCGGCCUGGAAAGUCUGAUGUGAAAGCCCUGGGCUUAACCCGGGAAGUGCAUUGGAAACUGUUGGGCUUGAGUUCUGGAGAGGAAGGGGGAAUUCCCGGUGUAGAGGUGAAAUUC
Molecule: ribosomal RNA, 712 nt
Filed under: uncultured delta proteobacterium
Lineage: Bacteria; Deltaproteobacteria
Description: bacterial SSU rRNA
Rfam family: Bacterial small subunit ribosomal RNA
Source: RNAcentral